AGUGAACGCUGGCGGUAGGCCUAACACAUGCAAGUCGAACGGCAGCACAGUAAGAGCUUGCUCUUACGGGUGGCGAGUGGCGUACGGGUGAGGAAUACAUCGGAAUCUACUUUUUCGUGGGGGAUAACGUAGGGAAACUUACGCUAAUACCGCAUACGACCUACGGGUGAAAGCAGGGGAUCUUCUGACCUUGCGCGAUUGAAUGCGCCGAUGUCGGAUUAGCUAGUUGGCGGGGUAAAGGCCCACCAAGGCGACGAUCCGUAGCUGGUCUGAGAGGAUGAUCAGCCACACUGGAACUGAGACACGGUCCAGACUCCUACGGGAGGCAGCAGUGGGGAAUAUUGGACAAUGGGCGCAAGCCUGAUCCAGCCAUACCGCGUGGGUGAAGAAGGCCUUCGGGUUGUAAAGCCCUUUUGUUGGGAAAGAAAAGCAGCAGGUUAAUACCACGCUGUUCUGACGGUACCCAAAGAAUAAGCACCGGCUAACUUCGUG
Molecule: ribosomal RNA, 492 nt
Filed under: uncultured bacterium
Lineage: Bacteria
Description: partial 16S ribosomal RNA
Rfam family: Bacterial small subunit ribosomal RNA
Source: RNAcentral